GAAAUGCGAUACUUGGUGUGAAUUGCAGAAUCCCGUGAACCAUCGAGUCUUUGAACGCAAGUUGCGCCCGAAGCCUUCUGGCCGAGGGCACGUCUGUCUGGGCGUCACGCACCGCGUCGCCCCCCUCCCUCCCGGGGGAGAGGGGCGGAGACUGGCCUCCCGUGCGUCCCGGCGCGCGGCUGGCCUAAACGCAGACCCCGCGGCCGCAAAAAGCCGCGACGAUUGGUGGUGUUAACAGCAUAUCAAAGUCGCGUCUCGAGCGGCCCUCGGGCGCUCAAGGGUCCCUUGAACUCCGGUUCACCGUUGCGACCCCAGAUCAGGCGGGACUACCCGCUGAGUUUAA
This 343-nucleotide ribosomal RNA is filed under the name Oxyria digyna. RNAcentral describes it as "eukaryotic LSU rRNA". The stretch from base 1 to 107 matches the Rfam family "5.8S ribosomal RNA", at positions 50 to 154 of the family's 154-position model. Lineage: Eukaryota; Viridiplantae; Streptophyta; Magnoliopsida; Caryophyllales; Polygonaceae. The record is from RNAcentral.